RNAcentral lists this ribosomal RNA (202 nucleotides) under uncultured Actinomycetales bacterium. Its description in RNAcentral is "partial 16S ribosomal RNA". It matches the Rfam family "Bacterial small subunit ribosomal RNA", at positions 128 to 334 of the family's 1533-position model. Lineage: Bacteria; Bacillati; Actinomycetota; Actinomycetes; Actinomycetales. The record is from RNAcentral.
GCCCUGCACUUCGGGAUAAGCCUGGGAAACUGGGUCUAAUACCGGAUAGGACCACAUUUUGGAUGGUGUGGUGGAAAGUUUUUCGGUGUGGGAUGAGCUCGCGGCCUAUCAGCUUGUUGGUGGGGUAAUGGCCUACCAAGGCGUCGACGGGUAGCCGGCCUGAGAGGGUGUACGGCCACAUUGGGACUGAGAUACGGCCCAG